This 377-nucleotide ribosomal RNA is filed under the name uncultured bacterium. RNAcentral describes it as "bacterial SSU rRNA". It matches the Rfam family "Bacterial small subunit ribosomal RNA", at positions 521 to 896 of the family's 1533-position model. The record is from RNAcentral.
UAAUACGUAGGUGGCAAGCGUUGUCCGGAUUUACUGGGCGUAAAGAGCGCGCAGGCGGUGCGAUCAGUCGAAUGUGAAAGCCCCCGGCUCAACUGGGGAGGGUCAUUCGAUACUGUCGGACUCGAAGGCAGGAGAGGGAAGCGGAAUUCCCGGUGUAGUGGUGAAAUGCGUAGAUAUCGGGAGGAACACCAGUGGCGAAGGCGGCUUCCUGGCCUGUUCUUGACGCUGAGGCGCGAAAGCUAGGGGAGCAAACGGGAUUAGAUACCCCGGUAGUCCUGGCCCUAAACGAUGAAUGCUUGGUGUGGCGGGUAUCGAUCCCUGCCGUGCCGAAGCUAACGCAUUAAGCAUUCCGCCUGGGGAGUACGGUCGCAAGGCUG